UACGUAGGGGGCAAGCGUUGUCCGGAUUUAUUGGGCGUAAAGAGCGUGUAGGCGGCCACACAGGUCAGCUGUGAAAACUCGAGGCUCAACCUCGAGACGUCGGUUGAAACCGUAUGGCUAGAGUCCGGAAGAGGAGAGUGGAAUUCCCGGUGUAGCGGUGAAAUGCGCAGAUAUCGGGAAGAACACCCGUGGCGAAGGCGGCUACACUGGCUCAUUUCUGACGCUCAGGCGCGACAGCGUGGGGAUCAAACAGG
Molecule: ribosomal RNA, 254 nt
Filed under: uncultured bacterium
Lineage: Bacteria
Description: partial 16S ribosomal RNA
Rfam family: Bacterial small subunit ribosomal RNA
Source: RNAcentral